This 566-nucleotide ribosomal RNA is filed under the name uncultured bacterium. Its description in RNAcentral is "partial 16S ribosomal RNA". It matches the Rfam family "Bacterial small subunit ribosomal RNA", at positions 355 to 912 of the family's 1533-position model. The record is from RNAcentral.
UGGGGAAUUUUGGACAAUGGGCGAAAGCCUGAUCCAGCAAUGCCGCGUGUGUGAAGAAGGCCUUCGGGUUGUAAAGCACUUUUGUCCGGAAAGAAAUCCUUGGCUCUAAUACAGUCGGGGGAUGACGGUACCGGAAGAAUAAGCACCGGCUAACUACGUGCCAGCAGCCGCGGUAAUACGUAGGGUGCAAGCGUUAAUCGGAAUUACUGGGCGUAAAGCGUGCGCAGGCGGUUUGCUAAGACCGAUGUGAAAUCCCCGGGCUCAACCUGGGAACUGCAUUGGUGACUGGCAGGCUAGAGUAUGGCAGAGGGGGGUAGAAUUCCACGUGUAGCAGUGAAAUGCGUAGAGAUGUGGAGGAAUACCGAUGGCGAAGGCAGCCCCCUGGGCCAAUACUGACGCUCAUGCACGAAAGCGUGGGGAGCAAACAGGAUUAGAUACCCUGGUAGUCCACGCCCUAAACGAUGUCAACUAGUUGUUGGGGAUUCAUUUCCUUAGUAACGUGAGACUAACGCGUGAAGUUGACCGCCUGGGGAGUACGGUCGCAAGAUUAAAGCUUAAAUGAAUUG